UAAUUCUUGCGUAGUUGUUGCUUGCUCCUGCAAUGUGUUCCAAUUCUAAACUCUCAGCUAGCCUGGAAGAAAUUUUUUAACAAAGAGAAGCUUAGAACAUAAGCUCUUGGAUUAGUACAAGAUGAAAUGUUCUUUGAUAAAACUAUGAGAGAAGUACCGUAGAAAUGUCUUGAGGUUGUCUUGGAGCACCAAUGUCUUAGGUUGUGUUGGAGUGGUCAGCUUUGGCUUUUUGACCUAAAAAACCAAGAUACUUUGCCAAACAUACUGCCUACAAAUGUAUUUUCUUGAUGUGCUUAGUGACACAGGAAGUUAUACACUUGAUUCAGUACCACCUUGCUUGGUCACAUUGCUAUUUCAAGCAUGAGCAUUUUCCGAUUCUUGACCACCAUCUGCUUUCUACAUUUGAGGUUCAGUUCAACUGUAAGUAAACUUAUAAUCCCUCCAUCUCAAUAUAAGUGUCUCGACUUUGUACUAACUUCAAUCGUUCCACAACACCAUAAAUUUCACCAGAGUUAAAUAGUUGAUGAUCGCAAGCUGCACAAAAUGAAUAUUUCACACCCUAAGCUAUAAAAUAUGCAUUGAAAAUACAUUAGUAUGCAGUACUAGAACAUCAAUAAAAAUUCUCUGUGGGUCAAUCAAAUAUUAGAGAACAUUGAAGUUGCUCUCUGAACUGACACCUGAGCUUGCUAGUGAAAGCAAUCAUAUGGGUCAUUAGCAAUUUUCAUUUCUAUAUUGCUGGUAAAUGUACUCAACUGUUAGACAAAUAUGUUCACAAAAACUAAAGCUGCUGAUGGAUACAUAAAAACCCACCAACCAUUUUAGAAUAAUUUGGGGACAACGACUCUCAAAUCAUUAAGCCCCAUAUCACACGGAUCACAACGAUGCGUAGUCCUAAUAUUAGAUAGGGAAAAACAUGUGCUCAUAAUAAAAGAUCAACAAAUGUACUCAACUGUCAUACCACCAAUACUUUUGAGUAUUUCUUAGAAAAUAAAAUAUAAACAGUACUACUAAAAAUAUCAAAUCGAUGUGCCAUUAUCUCCUACAAAGAUCCAAAGGGGAAAUUAGUAGAGAAAAAUUAAGUGGUUCUGGAGUAAGGAAAAAAAUCUCAUCUGUUUUGCUGACUUGCAUUGCACGUAAAGUUAUGCCCAAAAUGUAAUGCUUGACCUGGGAAUAAUGUAGUUUUGUAGUAUACUGCCAAUAAAUCAUGCUCAAUUGUAUUGGAACCCAAUAUACUCCCCAAGACCCAUGUCGCCAGAACUAAGUUCUGAAUGAACUUUACUACAUAGUCAUCAAGCUGGAGCAUUUUUCGGUAUGUUAGCAAUUCAGCAUAUCAUGUAUUUAUGUGUUUGAACAUCAUGUGAAUUCAAACCGGAAUUCCUUCCAUUCAUGAAAUUGAACAUAGCGUAAUGGAGAGAUCAAGAAUGAAAAAGACUUACCAUGUUAUAUU
Molecule: long non-coding RNA, 1447 nt
Filed under: Triticum aestivum (bread wheat)
Lineage: Eukaryota; Viridiplantae; Streptophyta; Magnoliopsida; Poales; Poaceae
Description: long non-coding RNA (TAES_LNC027503)
Source: RNAcentral